GGUCAUUUAGAGGAAGUAAAAGUCGUAACAAGGUCUCCGUAGGUGAACCUGCGGAGGGAUCAUUACCGAGUUCAUGCCCACACGGGUAGAUCUCCCACCCUAUGUUAUCAUUACCUUUGUUGCUUUGGCGGGCCGCCAGGCUUCGGUCAGGCUACCGGCUCCGGCUGGUACGCGCCCGCCAGAGGACCCCAAACUCUGAAUGUUAGUGUCGUCUGAGUACUAUCUAAUAGUUAAAACUUUCAACAACGGAUCUCUUGGUUCUGGCAUCGAUGAAGAACGCAGCGAAAUGCGAUAAGUAAUGUGAAUUGCAGAAUUCAGUGAAUCAUCGAAUCUUUGAACGCACAUUGCGCCCCUUGGCAUUCCGAGGGGCAUGCCUGUUCGAGCGUCAUUACAACCCUCAAGCACUGCUUGGCAUUGGGCUCCGCUGCUAACCCAGCGGGCCUUAAAAUCAGUGGCGGCGCCCUCAGGCUCUGAGCGUAGUAAAUCUCCUCGCUAUAGAGUCCUGGUGGUGGUAGUCAUCAACCCCCAACUUUUCUAAGUUUGACCUCGGAUCAGGUAGGGAUACCCGCUGAACUUAAGCAUAUCAAUAAGCGGAGGA
This 598-nucleotide ribosomal RNA is filed under the name uncultured Helotiales. Its description in RNAcentral is "eukaryotic LSU rRNA". The stretch from base 235 to 388 matches the Rfam family "5.8S ribosomal RNA". The record is from RNAcentral. Lineage: Eukaryota; Fungi; Ascomycota; Leotiomycetes; Helotiales.